RNAcentral lists this long non-coding RNA (199 nucleotides) under Brassica napus (rape). RNAcentral's name for it is "long non-coding RNA (BNAP_LNC026356)". Lineage: Eukaryota; Viridiplantae; Streptophyta; Magnoliopsida; Brassicales; Brassicaceae. The record is from RNAcentral.
AAAACACACAACUGUAAUGAGAAGACCAUAAGAGACGACGGUGAUAAGCUAGAUGGAGAGCAGGAGUGGAGCGGAGGGCGACGCCGGCAAGCUUGGUCGCUGCCGGCGUCGGGAUGUGAAGUCGGUGACGGCGCCUAGGAAUAUGUGUCUGCGAGCGUUUUAACUAGGGCGAACUUCUUUUUUUAAGAUUAAAUUAGUU